GAGUAUGUCCAUCUCUUAACGGUUCGGCGCCCUUCGUGCCAGGCGAGGUGGCAUGGUGCCCCCUUCAAAGAUGUGGGAGGAUGCCAUGUCGGCGAGAACCCUUCAAGCAAACGAGAUUGGCUCCUCACCUGUCUGUCGGUUCAUGCUGAGAAGGUCCUGCUGAUGCUUCUGUGCGGUGGUCUGUUCAUGUGGAGGGCUUCAUUAACACGA
This 210-nucleotide long non-coding RNA is filed under the name Hordeum vulgare. RNAcentral describes it as "long non-coding RNA (HVUL_LNC017493)". Lineage: Eukaryota; Viridiplantae; Streptophyta; Magnoliopsida; Poales; Poaceae. The record is from RNAcentral.